This 462-nucleotide ribosomal RNA is filed under the name uncultured bacterium. RNAcentral's name for it is "SSU rRNA". It matches the Rfam family "Bacterial small subunit ribosomal RNA", at positions 26 to 518 of the family's 1533-position model. The record is from RNAcentral.
AGGAUUAACGCUGGCGGCGUGCCUAACACAUGCAAGUCGAACGAGGUAGCAAUACCUAGUGGCAGACGGGUGAGUAACGCGUGGUCAACCUACCGUUGAGUGGGGGAUAACUAGCCGAAAGGUUAGCUAAUACCGCAUACGAGUCUCGGGGGCAUCCCUGGGCCUUAAAAGGAGCAAUCCGCUCGAUGACGGGACCGCGUCCCAUUAGCUAGAUGGUGGGGUAAUGGCCUACCAUGGCACCGAUGGGUAGCUGGUUUGAGAGAGCGACCAGCCACACUGGGACUGAGAAACGGCCCAGACUCCUACGGGAGGCAGCAGUGAGGAUUUUCCGCAAUGGGCGAAAGCCUGACGGAGCGACGCCGCGUGUGGGAAGAAGGCCUUCGGGUCGUAAACCACUGUCGAAGGGGACGAUAAUGACGGUACCCUUGGAGGAAGCCCGGCUAACUACGUGCCAGCAGCCGC